AGAACGAACGCUGGCGGCAGGCUUAACACAUGCAAGUCGAGCGCCCCGCAAGGGGGAGCGGCAGACGGGUGAGUAACGCGUGGGAAUCUACCCAUCACUACGGAACAACUCCGGGAAACUGGAGCUAAUACCGUAUACGUCCUUCGGGAGAAAGAUUUAUCGGUGAUGGAUGAGCCCGCGUUGGAUUAGCUAGUGGUGGGUAUGGCCUACAAGCGACGAUCCAUAGCUGGUCUGAGAGGAUGAUCACGCCACUAUUAGGGACUGAGACACGGACCCAAACGUCUACGGGAGG
This 292-nucleotide ribosomal RNA is filed under the name uncultured soil bacterium. RNAcentral's name for it is "partial 16S ribosomal RNA". It matches the Rfam family "Bacterial small subunit ribosomal RNA", at positions 26 to 348 of the family's 1533-position model. The record is from RNAcentral.